GAUCCUGGCUCAGGAUGAACGCUAGCUACAGGCUUAACACAUGCAAGUCGAGGGGCAGCAUGAAUUUACUUCGGUAAAUUUGAUGGCGACCGGCGCACGGGUGCGUAACGCGUAUCCAACCUUCCCGUUACUCCGGGAUAGCCUUCCGAAAGGGAGAUUAAUACCGGAUGGUGUUUGAAGUCCGCAUGAAAUUCAAACUAAAGAUUUAUCGGUAACGGAUGGGGAUGCGUACCAUUAGAUAGUAGGCGGGGUAACGGCCCACCUAGUCGACGAUGGUUAGGGGUUCUGAGAGGAAGGUCCCCCACACUGGAACUGAGACACGGUCCAGACUCCUACGGGAGGCAGCAGUGAGGAAUAUUGGUCAAUGGCCGUAAGGCUGAACCAGCCAAGUAGCGUGAAGGAUGAAGGUUCUAUGGAUUGUAAACUUCUUUUAUACGGGAAUAACACCAUCUACGUGUAGAUGUCUGCAUGUACCGUAUGAAUAAGCAUCGGCUAACUCCGUG
RNAcentral lists this ribosomal RNA (503 nucleotides) under uncultured bacterium. RNAcentral's name for it is "bacterial SSU rRNA". It matches the Rfam family "Bacterial small subunit ribosomal RNA", at positions 15 to 507 of the family's 1533-position model. The record is from RNAcentral.